This is a long non-coding RNA of Macadamia integrifolia, 228 nucleotides long. RefSeq lists it as uncharacterized. The transcript has 2 exons. NCBI's taxonomy places the organism in Eukaryota, Viridiplantae, Streptophyta, Magnoliopsida, Proteales, Proteaceae. The record is from RefSeq and is a predicted model, not a curated record.
UUUGAAGGUAGUGAUCAGGGAGGAAGGGCUGCUUUAGAUUCGGCAACUGGUGGUUUCAGCAAGACCAAUGUCUUGUCAUGGAGGGUUUAAGUCCGUCUACAGAGGAGUGCUUCAAGCCGGAAACAGGGAGAGGAAGAGUUCAAAAUGGAGGUGAUCCAACUGCCACAUGAAUGAAGCAAUUAACUUAUUGAUUAUCAAGGGAAGAAAUAAGAUUUGAGUUUAUACAAA